RNAcentral lists this ribosomal RNA (560 nucleotides) under uncultured bacterium. RNAcentral's name for it is "partial 16S ribosomal RNA". It matches the Rfam family "Bacterial small subunit ribosomal RNA", at positions 355 to 1375 of the family's 1533-position model. The record is from RNAcentral.
UGGGGAAUAUUGGACAAUGGGCGCAAGCCUGAUCCAGCAAUGCCGCGUGAGUGAUGAAGGCCUUAGGGUUGUAAAGCUCUUUCGCACGCGACGAUGAUGACGGUAGCGUGAGAAGAAGCCCCGGCUAACUUCGUGCCAGCAGCCGCGGUAAUACGAAGGGGGCUAGCGUUGUUCGGAAUUACUGGGCGUAAAGGGCGCGUAGGCGACCUGUUUAGUCAGAAGUGAAAGCCCCGGCUCAACCUGGGAAUAGCUUUUGAUACUGGCAGGCUUGAGUUCCCGAAGAGGAUGGUGGAAUUCCCAGUGUAGAGGUGAAAUUCGUAGAUAUUGGGAAGAACACCCGGUGGCGAAGGCGGCCAUCUGGACGGACACUGACGCUGAGGCGCGAAAGCGUGGGGAGCAAACAGAUUAGAUACCCCUGGUAGUCCACGCGUAAACGNUGAAUGCUNGACGUCGGGGUGCAUNCACUUCGGUGUCGCCGCUAACGCAUUAAGCAUUCCGCCUGGGGAGUACGGCCGCAAGGUUAAAACUUAAAGGAAUUGACGGGGUCAUAGCUGUUUCCU